CAGCGCCCCUCUCUCUCGAUCUCCGAUGAUGGUAACGAGAUUAGGUAAAAAGAUGGUGAUGUGAGGUGCCGACGGCCGGAGACACCGUUCACGGCGGCGGCUCCUUGUUUCUGUCCGAUGACUUCGAGGUAACCCCCACCCCCCUUUUUCACCUCGCCCUCUUCUCUCCCGUUGAUUUUCUGACGACCGGUGACGGAGAGGAUGACAAGCAUAAGUUGGUUGAUGAUGUUGGAUCGGGUUUGGUAUGGUUAACUGGUCAGUGGGUUUGGUUCGGGCUCGGUCAGGACAAGUCAGCGGUCAAGUCACGUGAGUCUCGGGUCAGGUUCAGUACGGGAUUCGAGUCGGGUCAGCGGUCCAGUCAACGAGUCCGCACAGGUUACUCGCGAGAUACGGAUAAUCACUCUUGUUCGCUCUCUUGGAAUUUCCGUUCACUCAUGCACCAUCGUUUGCCCUUAUAGGGUGACCUCGGUGUUUCGUCCUCCUAAACUCGUACCCACGUCAACGCUUGGAUAAUCGGAAGACUUAACAAUUAUGUGGAUGUCGACGAUGCAUGGAACUUAGUAGGAUGCUUAGAUACACACUUAA
This is a long non-coding RNA of Helianthus annuus (common sunflower), 585 nucleotides long. RefSeq lists it as uncharacterized. The transcript is spliced from 3 exons. The record is from RefSeq and is a predicted model, not a curated record. Lineage: Eukaryota; Viridiplantae; Streptophyta; Magnoliopsida; Asterales; Asteraceae.